This 253-nucleotide ribosomal RNA is filed under the name uncultured bacterium. Its description in RNAcentral is "partial 16S ribosomal RNA". It matches the Rfam family "Bacterial small subunit ribosomal RNA", at positions 524 to 776 of the family's 1533-position model. The record is from RNAcentral.
UACGUAGGGUGCGAGCGUUAAUCGGAAUUACUGGGCGUAAAGCGUGCGCAGGCGGUUCGUUGUGUCUGAUGUGGAAGCCCCGGGCUCAACCUGGGAAUGGCAUUGGAAACUGGCGAGCUAGAGUGUGGCAGAGGGGGGUGGAAUUCCGCGUGUAGCAGUGAAAUGCGUAGAGAUGCGGAGGAACACCGAUGGCGAAGGCAGCCCCCUGGGCUAGCACUGACGCUCAGGCACGAAAGCGUGGGGAGCAAACAGG